This 447-nucleotide ribosomal RNA is filed under the name uncultured bacterium. Its description in RNAcentral is "bacterial SSU rRNA". It matches the Rfam family "Bacterial small subunit ribosomal RNA", at positions 30 to 524 of the family's 1533-position model. The record is from RNAcentral.
AUUGAACGCUGGCGGCAGGCCUAACACAUGCAAGUCGAGCGGUCCCUUUGGGGGCAGCGGCGGACGGGUGAGUAACGCGUGGGAACCUGGCCUUGGGUGCGGGAUAACGUCGGGAAACUGGCGCUAAUACCGCAUAAUGUCUACUGACCAAAGAUUUAUCGCCCAAGGAUGGGCCCGCGUUGGAUUAGCUAGAUGGUGGGUAACGGCCUACCAUGGCGACGAUCCAUAGCUGGUUUGAGAGGAUGAUCAGCCACACUGGGACUGAGACACGGCCCAGACUCCUACGGGAGGCAGCAGUGGGGAAUCUUGGACAAUGGGGGCAACCUGAUCCAGCCAUGCCGCGUGAGUGACGAAGGCCUUAGGGUUGUAAAACUCUUUCAGCGGGGACGAUAAUGACGGUACCCGCAGAAGAAGCCCGGCUAACUCCGUGCCAGCAGCCGCCGUAAG